CUCCACUUAUGGCAGAAAACAAGCUAACAGCUGCAGCACCUCCAAAUACACCUGUAAAUGUUG
RNAcentral lists this non-coding RNA (63 nucleotides) under Plasmodium falciparum 3D7. The record is from RNAcentral. Lineage: Eukaryota; Apicomplexa; Aconoidasida; Haemosporida; Plasmodiidae.